Molecule: ribosomal RNA, 497 nt
Filed under: uncultured bacterium
Lineage: Bacteria
Description: partial 16S ribosomal RNA
Rfam family: Bacterial small subunit ribosomal RNA
Source: RNAcentral
GAUGAACGCUGGCGGCGUGCCUAAUACAUGCAAGUCGAGCGAACGGACGAGAAGCUUGCUUCUCUGAUGUUAGCGGCGGACGGGUGAGUAACACGUGGAUAACCUACCUAUAAGACGGGGAUAACUUCGGGAAACCGGAGCUAAUACCGGAUAAUAUUUUGAACCGCAUGGUUCAAAAGUGAAAGACGGUCUUGCUGUCACUUAUAGAUGGAUCCGCGCUGCAUUAGCUAGUUGGUAAGGUAACGGCCUACCAAGGCAACGAUACAUAGCCGACCUGAGAGGGUGAUCAGCCACACUGGAACUGAGACACGGUCCAGACUCCUACGGGAGGCAGCAGUAGGGAAUCUUCCGCAAUGGGCGAAAGCCUGACGGAGCCACGCCGCGUGAGUGAUGAAGGUCUUCGGAUCGUAAAACUCUGUUAUUAGGGAAGAACAUAUGUGUAAGUAACUGUGCCCAUCUUGACGGUACCUAAUCAGAAAGCCACGGCUAACUACGUG